AACGAACGCUGGCGGCGCGCCUAAUACAUGCAAGUCGAGCGAGAAGGUGUAGCAAUACACUUGUAAAGCGGCGAACGGGUGAGGAAUACAUGGGUAACCUACCCUCGAGUGGGGAAUAACUAGCCGAAAGGUUAGCUAAUACCGCAUACGAUUCCAGGACUUCGGUUUUGGAAGGAAAGCACUACCGUGGGUAGUGCGCUCCUGGAUGGGCUCAUGUCCUAUCAGCUUGUUGGGAGGUAAUGGCUCACCAAGGCUUCGACGGGUAGCUGGUCUGAGAGGACGAUCAGCCACACUGGCACUGCGACACGGGCCAGACUCCUACGGGAGGCAGCAGUAAGGAAUAUUGCGCAAUGGGCGACAGCCUGACGCAGCGACGCCGCGGUGGGGGA
This 389-nucleotide ribosomal RNA is filed under the name uncultured bacterium. Its description in RNAcentral is "bacterial SSU rRNA". It matches the Rfam family "Bacterial small subunit ribosomal RNA", at positions 29 to 408 of the family's 1533-position model. The record is from RNAcentral.